Molecule: long non-coding RNA, 1354 nt
Organism: Acipenser ruthenus (sterlet)
Lineage: Eukaryota; Metazoa; Chordata; Actinopteri; Acipenseriformes; Acipenseridae
Exons: 2
Source: RefSeq, a predicted model, not a curated record
UAAGGCGUGUCUGGUUUGGGGUUUUGUAUAAAAUGGUCGCGAGGAGAAACAGUUUCUGUGACAGUUUCUCAAGACAAAAACAGGAAGAAAAGCUUACUUUAAGGUUUGGUUAAGCUGAUAUAGAGGAUGGUCAAAUUUCUCUUCUUGAUGUUCUUGGUUGAGUCCAGCAACCAAUUCAUGAGAAGUCAGACUCUCAGGUCCAGAACACCAAAGACCUGUGCUGUUCUCCACACUGAGAAUGAGAAGCAGCUGGAGCUGCCAUCCUUCAGAGACAAGACCCAGGUGGGAUCUAGAUGGAAUGGAACCUUCGGGUUCUUCACAGUGAUGGAGGGCUGCCUGCUCACUCUUUGGCAGGAUCACAGAGGACAGGGUGAUCCUCAGUCCUUCGUGAGUGGUGCUUACCCCAGUGUCACUGGUUCCUUUUCUGCCUUCCUGUGCAGCUGUGUGGGAGAGGAAAGUGAAAUCGUGGCCCUUACUUCCACCUUCGCUGAUUUCCGAAAGAGGCACCUUGCACCCAGGAACGCAAAAGGUGACAAUAAUUUCUGCACAGCUCAAAUAAGGAACAGAAACCUUACUGAUCACGGGUCAUGCAAACAACGGAACACGUUUAUAUUUUCUGACGAGGACGUGGUUAUAAAUGUAUGUAGAACAGGAGGUAGCCACUAUCCUGACAAACGGUAUAACAAUCUGUAUAAGAGCAAGGACUUGUUCAAUCUGACAGAGUGCUCAUGGACAAAUGAGCCUGAAGAACCGCCCAACUGUAGUUACACAGCAGAUAUGAAAACAAGGUUUAUCAUUCUAGCUUGUAGGAAGAAACUGCCCGUACAUUUUCAAAAAAGCGUACCAAAUUAACCUUAUUUCAUCGUUUCAAGAUUACCCUUAACCUGAACUACCCUACCAAACUGUUUUGCUCUGCACUGAAUAAUUAAACCAAAAAUUGUCCUUCUUAAAUGGUACCAUAUUGUUGUUUAAUCGCCCCUGUAUCUAUUAAGAUGGGUGUGUUGCACUUUCCGUUAGAAUUGUAUUGUGAAUUGUAUUGUGAACCUAGGUUUAAAGUGUUAGGCACAUUCGGUAGUUCAAAAUUUUUGAUAACUGGGGUUUGUGAAAGCCACAAAACGUAAACUCUUGAGACCAAUUCCUCAAAUGACAAUGCUUGGCUGACUCUGUAUUAAAGGGGAGGCUACUCAUCAGAAAAGGGUGAGAAAGUUACAGAGCAGAAGUAAGCUUGUAUAUUACAGAGCAGAACUGAAAGCCUGUCGUCAGAAACAUCCAGGCCACUGUGAGUAAAAAACUGUGUCAAAAAAUCUUUUUUGUUUCUGAACAAUAAAAGUGCCCAUCCCUGUGCGGAAAUAUA